RNAcentral lists this unclassified non-coding RNA (285 nucleotides) under uncultured Vishniacozyma. Its description in RNAcentral is "partial contains 5.8S ribosomal RNA, internal transcribed spacer 2, and large subunit ribosomal RNA". The stretch from base 1 to 102 matches the Rfam family "5.8S ribosomal RNA", at positions 53 to 154 of the family's 154-position model. Lineage: Eukaryota; Fungi; Basidiomycota; Tremellomycetes; Tremellales; Bulleribasidiaceae. The record is from RNAcentral.
AUGCGAUAAGUAAUGUGAAUUGCAGAAUUCAGUGAAUCAUCGAAUCUUUGAACGCACCUUGCGCCCUUUGGUAUUCCGAAGGGCAUGCCUGUUUGAGUGUCAUGAAACCUCACCCCACUUGGGUUUUUGCCCGAGCGGUGGUGGAUUGGGUGCCUGCCGUCACUGGCUCACCUUAAAAGCAUAAGCAACCUUGGAUGUAAUACGUUUCAUCCUUCUGGGUGGCUGAUAACCCCACAUAACUCAUGAUCUGGCCUCAAAUCAGGUAGGGCUACCCGCUGAACUUAA